GAUGAACGCUAGCGAUAGGCUUAACACAUGCAAGUCGAGGGGCAGCAUGGUCUUAGCUUGCUAAGACUGAUGGCGACCGGCGCACGGGUGCGUAACGCGUAUGCAACUUGCCUCACAGAGGGGGAUAACCCGUCGAAAGACGGACUAAUACCGCGUACACUCCAUCUUGGGCAUCCAAGGUAGAGGAAAUGAAAUUCGCUGUGAGAUAGGCAUGCGUCCCAUUAGCUAGUUGGUGAGGUAACGGCUCACCAAGGCGACGAUGGGUAGGGGAACUGAGAGGGUGAACCCCCACACUGGUACUGAGACACGGACCAGACUCCUACGGGAGGCAGCAGUGAGGAAUAUUGGUCAAUGGGCGGGAGCCUGAACCAGCCAAGUCGCGUGAAGGAUGACUGUCUUAUGGAUUGUAAACUUCUUUUAUACGGGAAUAACAAGAGUCACGUGUGACUCCCUGCAUGUACCGUAUGAAUAAGCAUCGGCUAACUCCGUG
RNAcentral lists this ribosomal RNA (490 nucleotides) under uncultured bacterium. Its description in RNAcentral is "partial 16S ribosomal RNA". It matches the Rfam family "Bacterial small subunit ribosomal RNA", at positions 28 to 507 of the family's 1533-position model. The record is from RNAcentral.